This 756-nucleotide ribosomal RNA is filed under the name uncultured bacterium. RNAcentral's name for it is "bacterial SSU rRNA". It matches the Rfam family "Bacterial small subunit ribosomal RNA", at positions 33 to 773 of the family's 1533-position model. The record is from RNAcentral.
ACGCUGGCGGCGUGCCUAAUACAUGCAAGUUGAGCGCUGAAGGUUGGUACUUGUACCAACUGGAUGAGCAGCGAACGGGUGAGUAACGCGUGGGGAAUCUGCCUUUGAGCGGGGGACAACAUUUGGAAACGAAUGCUAAUACCGCAUAAAAACUUUAAACACAAGUUUUAAGUUUGAAAGAUGCAAUUGCAUCACUCAAAGAUGAUCCCGCGUUGUAUUAGCUAGUUGGUGAGGUAAAGGCUCACCAAGGCGAUGAUACAUAGCCGACCUGAGAGGGUGAUCGGCCACAUUGGGACUGAGACACGGCCCAAACUCCUACGGGAGGCAGCAGUAGGGAAUCUUCGGCAAUGGACGAAAGUCUGACCGAGCAACGCCGCGUGAGUGAAGAAGGUUUUCGGAUCGUAAAACUCUGUUGGUAGAGAAGAACGUUGGUGAGAGUGGAAAGCUCAUCAAGUGACGGUAACUACCCAGAAAGGGACGGCUAACUACGUGCCAGCAGCCGCGGUAAUACGUAGGUCCCGAGCGUUGUCCGGAUUUAUUGGGCGUAAAGCGAGCGCAGGUGGUUUAUUAAGUCUGGUGUAAAGGCAGUGGCUCAACCAUUGUAUGCAUUGGAAACUGGUAGACUUGAGUGCAGGAGAGGAGAGUGGAAUUCCAUGUGUAGCGGUGAAAUGCGUAGAUAUAUGGAGGAACACCGGUGGCGAAAGCGGCUCUCUGGCCUGUAACUGACACUGAGGCUCGAAAGCGUGGGGAGCAAAC